UGGGGGAUAUUGCACAAUGGGCGAAAGCCUGAUGCAGCGACGCCGCGUGGGGGAUGAAGGCUUUCGGGUUGUAAACCUCUUUCGCUAUCGAACAAGGCCCGCUUAGGGUGGGUUGAGGGUAGGUGGAGAAGAAGCGCCGGCUAACUACGUGCCAGCAGCCGCGGUAAUACGUAGGGCGCGAGCGUUCUCCGGAAUUAUUGGGCGUAAAGGGCUUGUAGGCGGCUUGUUGCGCCUGCUGUGAAAACGCGGGGCUUAACUUCGCGCGUGCAGUGGGUACGGGCAGGCUUGAGUGUGGUAGGGGUGACUGGAAUUCCAGGUGUAGCGGUGGAAUGCGCAGAUAUCUGGAGGAACACCGAUGGCGAAGGCAGGUCACUGGGCCAUUACUGACGCUGAGGAGCGAAAGCAUGGGUAGCGAACAGG
This 420-nucleotide ribosomal RNA is filed under the name bacterium. RNAcentral's name for it is "partial 16S ribosomal RNA". It matches the Rfam family "Bacterial small subunit ribosomal RNA", at positions 355 to 776 of the family's 1533-position model. The record is from RNAcentral.